This is a long non-coding RNA of Juglans regia (Persian walnut), 613 nucleotides long. RefSeq lists it as uncharacterized. NCBI's taxonomy places the organism in Eukaryota, Viridiplantae, Streptophyta, Magnoliopsida, Fagales, Juglandaceae. The record is from RefSeq and is a predicted model, not a curated record. The transcript is spliced from 3 exons.
GACCCUAUAUAAAUAUAUAUCUAUGUUAUAUAAGAGGUUAUCAAACCGCUAAAGACAUAAAUUCUUGUUUUAAUGACUAUCAAACGGAAAUUCUUGAUUCCAUUCUCUUGAAAGAUCUCUCCCUCCCACUCUCUCCCUCUCUCUCAGUCCUCUAUAUAUUCUCUUUCUUCAGAUCUACUUUCUCUCAGCUCUCUCUGUUUUUUGCCGAUUCUCUCUAACCUUCAACCUUCAUCUGCUUCUCUAACCCUCACACACUCAUACUUAUUCUCUCUCACUUUCGGUAGCCGCUAGCAAUGUCGUGCAUCUCCUCCAGCCACCAAUGUAGCCACCCACAGCAGCAACACCGCCAAACGCAAUCUCCCAAACCAUUGAAGCCGUGAGACCUAGCCACAACACAUUUCCCGUGUUUGGUCUCAAAGAAAAUGAAGAAAACUGCAGUCUAGGUCAGCCAACGAAGAACACGAUUGUUCUUCAUGGGAAAGAUCGUGUAUAUGUUAACAGUCAGUACCUUGUGAUGUAAUCUGGGCUAAGGGAAAUACAAAUGAACGAUGGAAGAAGCAGUAACAGCAAUGCACAGAGGGUGUUCUUGUUUCUGGUUUUGUUCUUGUUUGGU